This 100-nucleotide ribosomal RNA is filed under the name Helianthus annuus (common sunflower). The record is from RNAcentral. Lineage: Eukaryota; Viridiplantae; Streptophyta; Magnoliopsida; Asterales; Asteraceae.
AGUUGGUUGUAGAGCACAUGAAAACUCCACAGUUAAGUGUGCUCGGGUGGGAGCAAUACCAGGGUGGGUGACCUCCUGGGAAGACUCCAUCAGACAACCA